CCUCAGCAACGAGCUCCCUCUCUUUCCGCCUCCACUUCCUCGCGAGCCUCUCUCUUCUCCUGCUCCUCACAGCGGCGGCGGCGGCGAUGCAGAUGGCGGCCGCGACAAUCGAUGCUCCGGUGGCAGCUGCGCCGCACCCACAUCCCCAUGCCCAUGGCCCACAAGUACCGCACGGUCACGGGCACCCGCACCCUCACCACCACAUGCCGCAGCCGCGGUGGGUGGUACUUCCUUACCCGCCGCCGCCGCCUAUGGUGGCCGCGCCGCCCCCUCCUACACCGCAGUAUGUGAAGCAUUUCGCGCCGCAGGCAUCGGUGACGCCGCCUCCGCCAUCGACUGGAUCCGGCGGGAACGGAGGUGACGAGAACCGGACGAUCUGGGUCGGCGACCUCCAGUACUGGAUGGACGAGAACUAUCUCCACAGCUGCUUCGGCCCCAGCGGCGAGGUGGUGACGAUUAAAGUUAUCCGCAAUAGACAUUCCGGAGUUUCUGAGGGUUAUGGUUUUGUAGAGUUCUGUUCCCAUGCAUCAGCAGAGAAAGCACUUCAGAAUUUUGCUGGUCAUGUAAUGCCUAAUACUGACCGAGCUUUUAAGUUAAAUUGGGCAUCGUAUAGUGUUGGAGAAAAACGCUCUGAACUUGCUUCUGAUCACUCAAUUUUUGUUGGUGAUCUAGCUGUUGAUGUUACUGAUGACAUGUUGAUGGAACUUUUUGCUAACAAAUAUCGUUCUGUGAAAGGAGCUAAAGUUAUUAUUGAUGCAAACACGGGCCGUUCUAGGGGCUAUGGAUUUGUUAGGUUUGGAGAUGAUAUUGAUAGAACUCAUGCUAUGACUGAAAUGAAUGGUGUGUAUUGCUCCACUCGGCCAAUUCGCAUUGGACCUGCAACUCCUAGAAGAACUUCAGUUUCAGGUGAUUUUGGCACCUCUCCACCAACACAAUCAGAUGGUGACUCGACUAACAGGACAGUAUAUGUUGGCGGGCUUGACCCCAACGUUAGUGAAGAUGAACUAAGGAAAGCAUUUGCGAAAUAUGGUGAUGUUGCUUCUGUCAAAAUUCCUGUUGGGAAACAAUGCGGUUUUGUUCAAUUUGUCAACAGAGCUGAUGCGGAAGAAGCAUUACAAGGGUUGAGUGGAUUAACAAUCGGGAAGCAGGCAUUUCGUCUUUCUUGGGGCCGCAGUCCAGCAAGCAAACAGUUGUAAAUCUGCAUGGACAACGGAAAGUUUAACGCACUGUAAAUCUACAUGGACAUUGGACAAUGGAUUUUUUUCAAGAUAACUGCAAGGGGGACCCCUACAAUAUAUAUAGGAACCCAGAUUUGUGUUAAUGAGAACUUGAAUUGCAAGUUGUGGGGUUGUACAUUAACUCCCGCAACCAAGGCUUAUAUGCUCGGUAGGAAAUUUGCAUUUAUUACACCAGUGUAGGAUAUUAUUCCAAUCUAAAGUCUAAAUCAUAAAAUAGAUAUUUUCUACAUGCUGUUUAUGGUUGGCAAAUUUUUUGGACUUGCAUUUGUAUGUGUUCUGCACAACUCAACUGGAAAGUAGUUUCUUUUGGGUUUUAUUUCUCACUUUUUUGCUCAUUUUUAAAGGAAAGUAAUAGUGUUUGAUAUUUGCCAUGGUAAUUUUCUCUAUGCAUGCUAUGCUGCUUGAGAUAACAAGCUUUUGUGAACAUAUGAUAACCUGUAGUCUAUGUCAUGUAACCUUGGGCUUGGGUGGUAUCAUGGCCCAGCUCUAGCCAUGUCCAUGUGGCUAGUGAGAUUGUGGUUUUAGUAAAUCUCCUUGUGUGUUUGUUCCUUGAGGAUCUCAAUUGGUGCUAAAGGAUAUCAUUCAGUCUAAGUUAUCUAAUUACAAUGCAAUCCAGUUUUAUCUUAAUUAUUUGGCUUUAGGCCAGGUCAAGCAACACGACCAAAAGUAACACUAAAUAACCAUACGUAGUAGUCACAUUCAUAAAUAGAUGUUGUGUUUGAUGUGUCUCGGUCUCUAACAUGCAACUUUGCUCAUGAAUUUCUUGUAUGCAUCUUAGUAUAAAAAUGUAAUUACUAUAGUAUGAAAAAGAAGUCCAUGAAAAAUCUCAUGAUUUUGUUGAGAACAGCUAGUACAAUGUAGGUGCAACACACACACCACCACAACACACACACAGACACACUCACAAAGUCUACUGAUGGAUGGUUGGAGUCAUGGAGAUUCAAGAUUCGGUGGGAAUGUUGCCUCCCACUGGGGGAAUAUUCCUCCUUAAUGAGAUAUGAACGUAGGGUUUGAUCCCUAGUGGGUUAGGGGGUCCGACCAUCCUCCUAACAACCAACCACAAGUGGGUUCUCAUGAAGAAAUAUAAAAACAUUAUAUUCAUGUGGCCAGUAUUAGUAUAUUAUUGAAUGUAAUGAAUCAAACAUAUCAAAGUUUGAUUGCACACCUUCUAGGAAUGCUAUCUAUUUACAAAUAGAGGUAGCAGUGCCUUCUUUCCUUGUGUGUCAGAUAAAGUGGCCAUGUGUGAAGGGUAUGGCAACCUGGUGCAUGUAGCUCCCGCUUGCGCAGGGUCCAGGGAAGGGUCCGACCACUUUGGGUCUAUAGUACGCAGCCUUUCCCUACAUUUCUGUAAGAGGCUGUUUCCAGGACUUGAACCCAUGACCUCAUGGUCACAAGGCAGCAGCUUUACCACUGCGCCAAGGCUCCCCUCCAUGUGUGAAGGGUAUGCAUAGUCAUUAUUGGAGCAAAAGAAACACAUCCGCCAACCACAAAUAUUAGGUUCUCUAUCUCUAUAGAAGUGGAUACAAUCCAUUUGUGGUCACUAGGCAGGAAGUAUGGCUAACUAUGAAUAGUUAGUCCGCCCCUUCUCUUCAUGUGGGUGCAGUCAUGAUGCUGUUACGCCACUUGGGUUGAAGGGCACUUCAAGCAGCCGGAGGGAGACUAACUAUAUCCUAUAUAACUUAAUAGGCAAUCCCCACUAACUUAUUUUUCUCAACAUGCAAGCAUGCCACCUGAACUUGCAACCAUGCAUGAGAAAAAGCCCACCUCAACAUGCGACCGUGCAUGUGAAAAAGGCUUUCCGUUCUAUUAUGCUAUUUACAUUCAACGACUAUUUUAUAACUAUACAAUAAAUCAUUUCAGUAUCAGCUCUCAAAUUAUUAAUCCAAGUGCAUGUUCCAUGCAACCAAAUCUUAAUUGAAAUACAUUGCAGCCAAUUCCUGCAACAAUGCAUGUGGUGUGAUCUAGUUAGCCCCCUUUGAUGUAGCACAAUACCUGCAUGCAUGACUAAUGUUUUUUGGAUAUUGGUCAACUAUCUACUUGAGCAUUCUUGAAAGCAUGUUGUUUGUACUAUGCAUUGUAGUGUCGUAUUGUCCCUAUCCACUAGUCAUCUAAGUGGUCUUACUUUAUUUAAUACAUACAAGUAGCACUCCCUUUCGUCAUGUGAGGUGAUGCAGAGAGGAACCGGGGAAACUUGGAGGAAUAUGAAGCAAGAGGUCUCGAGUUGGAAGAUGCAAUAUAAUUCAUUGAUACCCCUACACACACAUGGCAGCAGCUAUAGAUGCUACAGGGCCUCACACAUGCUACAGUAAUGGGCUGGAGGCAACUGGGCCGUAAUACCACCCAUGUAGAUAUAGCAGCCGUAGCAGUCCCCCUUCCUUUAAAGAGAUCUUGACCUCAAGCUGAAGGUAACUCCGAUAGCACGCUUGCCCACUCUGAGGUAGCCAUGGAUGUAGGAAGACCACUCAUGCAAUCUUGUACUGCUUGCGGGUAUGGCCUCCAACUUUGACAAGCAGAGUUUGGAGAACUUGGGCAGGUUUGGAUGAACUCACCAAAGAUUGAUCAUACUUUAGAGAUUUAGAAGCCGCCUCGAUGUCUUUAGGUGGUUUUGCAGGUUUGGGGAUGGAGACAUGGACAACAGGAUGAAAUUUGCUGGAUUUUGAGCUGUCUAGGGGUGAUUCUGGGCAUCGGCGGAAUGGCAUGUACUACGGCACGCCUUUCUACGGUGGAUAUGGCUACACGUCGCCAGUUCCUCACCCAAACGUGUAUGCUGCGGCUUAUGGAGCCUACCCUUUCUACGG
RNA transcript from Triticum dicoccoides, 4036 nucleotides. It is a transcript of the gene named polyadenylate-binding protein RBP47-like, with no coding region annotated. The transcript is spliced from 7 exons. Lineage: Eukaryota; Viridiplantae; Streptophyta; Magnoliopsida; Poales; Poaceae. The record is from RefSeq and is a predicted model, not a curated record.